GAAUUCGCCCUUCCUACGGGAGGCAGCAGUCGGGAAUUUUGGGCAAUGGGCGAAAGCCUGACCCAGCAACGCCGCGUGAAGGAUGAAAUCCUUCGGGAUGUAAACUUCGCAAGAACGGGAAGAAUAAGUGAGAGCUAACAUCUCUUACGAUGACGGUACUGUUUGUAAGCUCCGGCUAACUCCGUGCCAGCAGCCGCGGUAAUAAGGGCGAAUUCGGA
RNAcentral lists this ribosomal RNA (218 nucleotides) under uncultured bacterium. RNAcentral describes it as "partial 16S ribosomal RNA". It matches the Rfam family "Bacterial small subunit ribosomal RNA", at positions 326 to 540 of the family's 1533-position model. The record is from RNAcentral.